GCAAUACUGUGAUAAAUGAUCUUGGUUGUC
RNAcentral lists this non-coding RNA (30 nucleotides) under Mus musculus (house mouse). The record is from RNAcentral. Lineage: Eukaryota; Metazoa; Chordata; Mammalia; Rodentia; Muridae.